ACCCCUAAGGCGAGGCCGAAAGGCGUAGUCGAUGGGAAACAGGUUAAUAUUCCUGUACUUGGUGUUACUGCGAAGGGGGGACGGAGAAGGCUAUGUUGGCCGGGCGACGGUUGUCCCGGUUUAAGCGUGUAGGCUGGUUUUCCAGGCAAAUCCGGAAAAUCAAGGCUGAGGCGUGAUGACGAGGCACUACGGUGCUGAAGCAACAAAUGCCCUGCUUCCAGGAAAAGCCUCUAAGCAUCAGGUAACAUCAAAUCGUACCCCAAACCGACACAGGUGGUCAGGUAGAGAAUACCAAGGCGCUUGAGAGAACUCGGGUGAAGGAACUAGGCAAAAUGGUGCCGUAACUUCGGGAGAAGGCACGCUGAUAUGUAGGUGAAGCGACUUGCUCGUGGAGCUGAAAUCAGUCGAAGAUACCAGCUGGCUGCAACUGUUUAUUAAAAACACAGCACUGUGCAAACACGAAAGUGGACGUAUACGGUGUGACGCCUGCCCGGUGCCGGAAGGUUAAUUGAUGGGGUCAGCGCAAGCGAAGCUCUUGAUCGAAGCCCCGGUAAACGGCGCCCGUAACCAUAACGGUCCUAAGGUAGCGAAAUUCCUUGUCGGGUAAGUUCCGACCUGCACGAAUGGCGUAAUGAUGGCCAGGCUGUCUCCACCCGAGACUCAGUGAAAUUGAACUCGCUGUGAAGAUGCAGUGUACCCGCGGCAAGACGGAAAGACCCCGUGAACCUUUACUAUAGCUUGACACUGAACAUUGAGCCUUGGUGUGUAGGAUAGGUGGGAGGCUUUGAAGUGUGGACGCCAGUCUGCAUGGAGCCGACCUUGAAAUACCACCCUUUAAUGUUUGAUGUUCUAACGUGGACCCGUGAUCCGGGUUGCGGACAGUGUCUGGUGGGUAGUUUGACUGGGGCGGUCUCCUCCUAAAGAGUAACGGAGGAGCACGAAGGUUGGCUAAUCCUGGUCGGACAUCAGGAGGUUAGUGCAAUGGCAUAAGCCAGCUUGACUGCGAGCGUGACGGCGCGAGCAGGUGCGAAAGCAGGUCAUAGUGAUCCGGUGGUUCUGAAUGGAAGGGCCAUCGCUCAACGGAUAAAAGGUACUCCGGGGAUAACAGGCUGAUACCGCCCAAGAGUUCAUAUCGACGGCGGUGUUUGGCACCUCGAUGUCGGCUCAUCACAUCCUGGAGCUGAAGUAGGUCCCAAGGGUAUGGCUGUUCGCCAUUUAAAGUGGUACGCGAGCUGGGUUUAGAACGUCGUGAGACAGUUCGGUCCCUAUCUGCCGUGGGCGCUGGAGAACUGAGGGGGGCUGCUCCUAGUACGAGAGGACCGGAGUGGACGCAUCACUGGUGUUCGGGUUGUCAUGCCAAUGGCACUGCCCGGUAGCUAAAUGCGGAAGAGAUAAGUGCUGAAAGCAUCUAAGCACGAAACUUGCCCCGAGAUGAGUUCUCCCUGACUCCUUGAGAGUCCUGAAGGAACGUUGAAGACGACGACGUUGAUAGGCCGGGUGUGUAAGCGCAGCGAUGCGUUGAGCUAACCGGUACUAAUGAACC
Molecule: ribosomal RNA, 1543 nt
Filed under: metagenome
Description: bacterial LSU rRNA
Rfam family: Bacterial large subunit ribosomal RNA
Source: RNAcentral